RNAcentral lists this ribosomal RNA (504 nucleotides) under Triticum aestivum (bread wheat). Its description in RNAcentral is "partial small subunit ribosomal RNA". The record is from RNAcentral. Lineage: Eukaryota; Viridiplantae; Streptophyta; Magnoliopsida; Poales; Poaceae.
AUGGGCAGGUCGAGUGGGCCAAUGGACUCAUCCUGUCCGGCAUCAAGACGUGACUCGUCGAGCCACUUGUCCGCUCACCCGGCAGUUGGCUCGACGAGUUGCCCAUGGUUCUCUGGAGUCUGCACGACACCAAACCGGUCGACCGGGUUCAUCCCGUUCUUCCUCAUCUACGGAUCCGAAGCCAUCAUCCCGACCGACGCCGAGUUCGACUCGCCGCGCGUCACGAUGUACACCGAAGCAGAAGCAAGAGAAGCAUGCGAAGACGGCGUCGACCUGCUCGAAGAGGUGCGCCUUCUGGCACUUAGCCGCUCGGCUAUCUACCAGCAAGGCCUGAGGCACUACCACAGCAAGAAGAUCAAGCCUCUCGCAGCGCAUUCCGCGAAGGCGACCUCGUCCUCCGACUCGUCCAAGAGCAGGCAGGCCAGCACAAGCUGUCCUCUCCAUGGAAGGCCCGUUCAUCGUGAGCAGGGCUUUGCGCGACCACAACGCCUGCUACCUCAUUGA